CACCACAGAGAGGGAGGGCGUGGGCAGGAAAUCGGCAGCAUCCGUUUCUCUCCCACUUGCAGUUCGUUCAAGGCAGAGAUGGCUUCAGCAGCAACAGUUCAGUCCCACCAAGGGCUCUCUGGACUCCUCUUCAUCUCCCUCUUGGCCCUGCAGUGUGCCCUAAUCAGCAGCGCAGAUGUUGUGAAGGUGACUCAGGAACCACCAUUUGAAAGCAAACUGAACGGCGAGACCCUGAGAAUGACCUGUGCUGUCAACCAAGAGAACUAUUAUAUCUAUUGGUACCGCCAACUCCCUGGGCAGACAGAACUACACCAACUUGGGUCUUUCCAACUCUUUACCAAAGACCUGCAAGAGAAGUCAGAAGGCAAGCUGAAGGAUCGGCUGGGUGGCGAACGGAACAAAAAUAAUGCCUCCUUGAACCUGGGAAGUCUGGAGCCUGAGGACACAGGACUCUAUCUCUGUGCUGCUAAAGACACAGUGAUUCCUGCAGGAACAAGACUGGUUUCUAAACUGAUGCUGCUUUUCAGGUGGUUAUCUUAUUGAACUGGGUAAAAGUCCACCUUCAAUGGUAACCAUAUGUUGCAUGUUUGAAAUUUGAAAAUGAUGCUGGUUUGUCAGGGAUGAUGUGAUCCACCAAGAUCAGAUGCCCUGUAUUUCAGUCACUUUUCUGAAUCCUUAUUAGGAUCGCUGAUG
Non-coding RNA from Hemicordylus capensis (graceful crag lizard), 693 nucleotides. The record is from the annotation of a RefSeq genome assembly. Lineage: Eukaryota; Metazoa; Chordata; Lepidosauria; Squamata; Cordylidae.